UAAACAAAUUCUAAGAAACACGUUCAC
Molecule: non-coding RNA, 27 nt
Filed under: Mus musculus (house mouse)
Lineage: Eukaryota; Metazoa; Chordata; Mammalia; Rodentia; Muridae
Source: RNAcentral